Egretta garzetta (little egret) is the source of this 14766-nucleotide RNA transcript. It is a transcript of the gene named kelch like family member 15, with no coding region annotated. The transcript has 6 exons. The record is from RefSeq and is a predicted model, not a curated record. NCBI's taxonomy places the organism in Eukaryota, Metazoa, Chordata, Aves, Pelecaniformes, Ardeidae.
UCGGUGGGGUGGGGACUUGGUCUGGUUGAACGAUACACCGAAAGGAGGAGCUUCGUCCUGCGUCGGCGGUUUAUGCGCCAACGUUUGUUGGUGCGUGUCUAACAGCGUGGCAGCGGGGGUUUAGUUGGGGCGGUGAGUGGGUGCGGUGCAGAAGGGAAGGGGGGGGGAAAACUUCAGCUAGGAGUGCUUGCAUGCAUUGGAAAUGAGCAUAUCUCACUUGAGGUCUGGUCAGCUUAUCUGCCGGAACAGUAAAAUGUCGCUCUGCCCACGUUAGCUGUCUCUGCUGGCCGUCAGCCUGACAAGAUUUUGAAUUUCAACCUUGUUACUGUCCUUUGUAGGCUGAGUGCUUAGCGUUAGGGAGACCACACGGAUACGAGACCCUGCCCCAAGAUCUGAACAGCUUGGCUCUUUUGUACCAAACAGCUAAAAAACCCCUGCCAGAAGUGUGCUGUUUUCAGAGUCGGGUUUGAGGUCAUCUUCUGUGUCAGUGUGUAGGAGAGACCUGAAGAUCAUCUUGCGCCUCAGCUUGCCACAAACUGCAAACGUCAAAAUGACAGUCAGGUGAUUCAUGGCAGGGGACGUGGAAGGGUUUAGCUCCUCCAUCCAUGACACCAGUGUCUCUGCUGGAUUCAGAGCACUGUAUGAGGAGGGAUUGCUUCUUGAUGUCACACUUGUCAUUGAAGACCACCAAUUUCAGGCCCAUAAAGCACUGCUUGCCACCCAGAGUGAUUACUUCAGGAUUAUGUUCACAGCUGAUAUGCGAGAACGAGAUCAGGACAAAAUCCAUUUGAAAGGUCUGACAGCUACAGGCUUCAGUCAUGUCCUCCAAUUCAUGUACUAUGGAACUAUUGAACUGAGUAUGAACACUGUUCAUGAAAUCCUUCAGGCUGCCAUGUAUGUCCAGCUUAUAGAGGUGGUAAAAUUUUGCUGCUCUUUUCUCUUAGCUAAAAUCUGCUUAGAAAACUGUGCAGAAAUUAUGAGACUUCUGGAUGAUUUUGGUGUAAACAUCGAAGGAGUCAGGGAAAAACUGGACUCCUUUCUGCUAGAGAAUUUUGUGCCACUCAUGUCCAGACCUGACUUCCUUUCAUAUCUGAGCUUUGAGAAGCUCAUGUCUUACUUGGAUAAUGAUCAUCUGAGCAGGUUUCCAGAGAUAGAGCUGUAUGAAGCUGUUCAGGCCUGGCUACGCCAUGAUAGAAGACGCUGGAGGCAUACGGACACCAUCAUUCAGAACAUCAGGUUUUGUUUGAUGACACCAUCCAGUGUUUUUGAGAAGGUAAAAACAUCAGAGUUUUAUCGAUACUCCCGGCAGCUGCGACAUGAGGUUGACCAAGCCAUGAAUUACUUUCAUAGCGUUCACCAACAGCCUUUGAUGGAAAUGAAAUCGAACAAAAUUCGUUCUGCCAAACCCCAGACUGCAGUAUUUAGAGGAAUGAUAGGACACAGUAUGGUAAACAGUAAAAUUCUUCUCUUGCACAAACCAAGGGUCUGGUGGGAACUAGAGGGCCCUCAAGUACCUUUACGACCAGACUGCCUUGCCAUUGUGAAUAACUUUGUAUUCCUAUUAGGUGGGGAAGAACUGGGGCCAGAUGGUGAGUUUCAUGCUUCAUCCAAAGUGUUUAGAUAUGACCCAAGACAGAACACGUGGUUACGAAUGGCAGACAUGUCUGUUCCACGUUCUGAGUUUGCUGUUGGAGUUAUUGGGAGGUAUGUUUAUGCGGUGGCUGGGAGAACCAGGGAUGAAACAUUUUACUCGACUGAACGGUAUGAUAUUACUGAAGAUAAAUGGGAAUUUGUGGAUCCCUAUCCAGUCAAUAAAUACGGACAUGAAGGGACUGUGCUUGGUAACAAGUUGUAUAUCACUGGUGGAAUUACAUCAUCUUCAACUUCUAAGCAAGUGUGUGUGUUCGAUCCCAGUAAAGAAGGGACAGUAGAGCAGCGAACAAGGAGAACUCAAGUGGUCACUAACUGUUGGGAGAACAAAUGCAAAAUGAAUUACGCAAGAUGCUUUCACAAAAUGAUUUCUUAUAAUGUUGAGUUUAACAAAAUAUUUGUGGAAGGAAGGAAGGAAAGAAGACUUUCAUUUUUUUUUAUUGAGCAUCAAAAUAAAGCUCAUCAUCAUCUGUACUAAGGUACAACCAGGUUUAAAAGAACAAAACUAAACAAUUUCUGUAUUUUAUGUUGUCUUUUGCAUGCUUUUCCCGUUAAUUGCAAAGUAUUUUCAAAUCUGCUAGGUGUUUUUGUUUUCCCUUAUAUAUGUUGAAGAAUAAUCUUAAUGCCUUUGCAUGACCUUUUUCCUGGUUUUGUAUAGUAGUACCAGUAAGUCUGCCAAAAUGCUAAUUACACAUUUUCUACUAAAUUGAAAAUGAAACAUUUUUAUAUUCAAAACACUAUUUCUAUGCUGCCUUCUAUUGUCUGCAUUGUGUUUGUUGGUGAGUAACAUAUAUACACACACAUGCAUACACUGUAAAAACUAUAUAUAAAUACAUCUUUUUAUGUGCAGCUACAAUAUUAUGUUUUAACUAGUGCACAGAUUCAGCCAUAUCUGUUGAACUUAAGGUAGAGUACUAUCCUUUAAUGAGCUAAAUAAUUUGAAGUUCUUAAGUAACUGGAGGCCUCAUUUGGUAUCAAAGUAUCUUAUCUUUAGUAUUUACUGAUUGAUUCAGUAACUUUAAACUCUUUAUAUUGAUGCUACAUAAUGAACUGUUGAUAAUUUGUUACUUUAUAAAUUAUUUUUUAAAAAGUAAACACAUCUUACCUGAGUUUCUUUUAUGUUUGAAUGUGCUGCCCGGUCUUCUUUUUUUAUGAAAAUGGAAAAUGUCAAUAAGCAAAUGCUCAGCACUGCUUUGACCCACAGUUAUUUUAGGAACUGGAUAAACUACAGUUUGUUCUCAGUACUUUGCUUGUUCUCGUACUUCAAUCUGAGUAUUUUGUUUGUACUCUUAUUGAAGUGGUAUAAUCUUUUAUUAUUUUAAUUAUUGACUGCUAUGAACUACUGUGUUUUGAAAAUGUGGAGUUAGGUGGUUGGAUGGUUAGUGCCAUUUAUGUUUCUUCUACAAAAAAACCUACACAACUAUCGCUACUGACCUCAGAGUGCCUGAAAUGAGAUGUGUGGUCCAAGAAGGCUUUGAAUAACUCCAUUGUGUUAACUUGCAGAUAUUACUGACAGUAGAUUGGUAAGAAUUAUCUGCCAAGACAUAAAUAAUAACGGUAACUACAUUCUGAUUGUAGUUAAUGAUGUGAAAUUAGCCACUCCUAGAAUCUAAAGGAGAGAUUUGAGGAAGUUGAAAGCUCACACUUAGUUGAGGCAAAAUGCUGUAACAUGCACCUGCAUAUUUUGUAAAAUCUUACGCUGCUGUGUUUCACUUUAAGCAAUAGACUUUACUUUAUGUGCAGCAAUGCAAAACCACUUUAUUCAGCAUCUUCCAGUCAGAGAUCACUGUAGAAAAGGAAUGUACAAUACUCAGGGAGUUCAAAAGAAUGCACUUACAAAGGGACCAAAAUCACCCUAAAUUUCCUAUGUUAAAAGUAACACCUACUUGCCUAAACUACUUUUGAAAAAAUUGAUAGAAGUUAAAACAAUCUGUAAAACUCCUCAUACUUGUAUUUUAAUAUUUUUGUAGGAAUUACAUUCUGAGUUGAGAUGUGAGGAUUUGGAGCUAUAGGGCAAGUUGGAUUUUUUUUUUUUUUUUUUAAAUGAGUAAAGAUUAUUGAUAGAGUAUUUUCUUUCCAUAUGUUUUAACAGAAAGAGAGAAUGUAUGCCAUCACAGCUGUAGUGGUAAGUUACUUACGCCAGUAGUGACUGGACCAAAUACUGAUUCAGCCUUCUGAUGCAGACUAGUUUGCAGUAAAAUUUAAGUGUUUUCUAAUCAAAAUCCAGUUUACUGAAUUAGAAAUCUGAUCUACUUUCUUAACAGCUUAACUUAAAGCCAGCACGGCUUACACUAAAACCUCAGCGUCACUGUGAGACACGUGUGUGCAUUACCCUGCAUGGGUGCAGAGAGAAACUGACUCCAGUGGGUGCUGGCUGUGUGCAGGUAAAAAGGUUCUGCUGUACAUAGUUCAUGGAAUAUUGGGGCACAAGAAAAAGACAAGGGUUUUUUAAAUUGUUUUAUUCUUUUUGUCACCAACUCAUUUCUCAACAAAUUUAUGGGGCAGCAAAAAUGAAUCCUUCUUUGAGAAGGCUUUCAUGGGCAUGUUAUGUACAGUAGGGAGUACUUCACUUUCUUCUAGGGCCAGUCUGAGAAAUGGAUGGGGUUCUGGAUAUCUGGUCUCCCAUGUUUCAGGUGUAGUAAAGAGACAUGGCCAAGACUUUUUUAAAAAUAAUAGUAAGGAUGGGGGUGUUACAAGUUAAGUUUCUGAGUCUGCAUAUAAGCACCUUCUGAAGUUCUGUGCACUAAGGAACUGCCACUAAAGUCAUUGGUGAGUAUUGACACUUGAAACAUGAAGAACCAGAUCACUUUUAGGUGCUCUGCGUUUAAGUUCAUAUUUAUCUUCAGGCGCUCAGUUCUGAAAGAUCUUGUUCAGGACUGUGAGAGUAAUUAUUCUGUGAAAUUCUAACAUGAACUGUUGGUUUCAACUUCCCUGAAGUUGUGUCUCCGUUAAGAAGCUGGCUGUAACCUUUGGAGCAUUAGGAAUCAUUGGAAUUUGCUUGGGUUUAGAACAUUGGGGGGGGUUAUGCAAGAAUGUUUUGUUAAUUUACAUUUCUACUGUGCUUUAUUGUUUCAAACAUGAAAUAUAAAAUUAGCUUACAUUCUCUUCCAUUGCAGUGGAACUUUUGAGGCAGUUAUUUUUGUUACUUCAUAUAUCAGAGGGAUUUUUUUUUUUUAAUGGAAAGUUACUGUUUGUGUUUGCUUUUAGUAUUUAGCUGCAGAUAAUUUAGAGUUUAAAUAAAAACGGAACUAAACUGGCUAAUAAAAAUUGCCUGUUACUAUGAAAUUUUAAUCAUUAUGAUCAGAUUAAUGUGAGUUUUAAAAAACUUUAAAUGCCUCUCAUUUGUCACAGAAAAGGUAAGUUAUGAUCUUUGACUAGUAAAGUUUGCAGGUGUUUCUUCUUCUGUUCCCACCCCAAUCGUAAUGGAAUACCAGCAAAUCUGAUCUCGCCCUCGUUUUUAAAAUUUAACACACGACCUGCUUUUGAACAGCAAGUGUACUUGCCUUUUCUUAAAAGGGUGGACAUAGUGAGUUACAGUGUGGGGUUUUUUUUCACAUUUAUAGCAAAAAUACACCAUCUUCAUGUCUUAAUUUAGCAGCUAGCUCUGGGAGGAAAUUUUGGUUUCAAAUGAGCCAGAAUGGACAAAAAAGCAUAGGGGGUUGUACAGGACAAAAAUGGUCAGAAAGCAUAGGCUCCUGAAAAGGGGCUGGACACUGCCAGUUGCCAUUCCGCAUGCUGCUGUAUCUGUUUUUAUAGGACAGAUAUUUUUUUUCGAAGUACUGCAUAAGUAAAAAAGCUGGGGUUUUUUUCCCCACGAAGUGUUGUAGCACUUUCGUAGUGGGAGGUACUAGGUGGCAAAAAAACCUUUUGAAAUUUUUCCCCACAUUGAUUCCACUGGAGGAAGGCAGUACUUGAUUUUACAAAGGCUCUGCUAUUUCAGAAAGCACUGCUAGCGAGAGGGCCUGGCAUGAGCAUGUGAGCUACGUGGCACCCGCUUUUGUGUUACUUCCUUUGGAAAGUGGGUGCCCUACCUUGUGCAGUAUGAUAGCGCUCCUGCUACAACUAGCUCUAAGGAUUUGUGACUUUAAUAUUUCUUUGGUUUCUGAGAUUUGCAGCCAUUUUUUCUUGAGGACCUCCUGCCUUACAAACCCCUGUGCUGCGUUUUUUCAUGCUGAUAAUAUGGUAACUACUUACAUCAGCGAUGAAGCUUCACCUGACUCUCAGGAAGCAAAGGAUAAAAUUCAGCAGGUACAAAUUCAAAUCUGUUUAAAAAGAAAAACAUCGCUUAACUCAUUAUGUCCAUUCUUUUGCAAAAGGAGAGUAAGCAUUAUGGGGAGAUGUUAACAGUUCUUUAAAAAUAAAGGUAAAGCUUGUGUCAGCAUUUAUACGACAGUCUUUUUAGAAAUAGUCGCAUUUGUAGAGGUCUUUUGCCUUUUUAAUAUUUUUUUCCUCACAAAAAAAGAAAGUAGUGAAUCAGGCCCCUGAUUCUUUUAACACUUCAAAUGUGUACUUCAUAUAUGUGAAGAGUCCAAUAUAAAGGAAACAGAAAACUGCAAGGUACUUAAAACAUACAAAAAUGCAAAUGUUACUAAACUUGUGCUUAAGUGUUUAUAGGGUUGGGGGCAUCAAAGAAAUCACCCAUCCUGCUCCCCUUCCGUCAAUAAAAAUAUAGCUGGUGAAGUUGCUUGCGUAAGCGUGGUCCAUGAUGUGUGGCAGGGCUUGCUGAAGGAGAGUGGGAAGGAGUAUAACUGGAAAGCAUGUGUAAUCUAUUUAAAACAAAGCUUGCUGGUGUCCUGUAGCUAACAUUUUUGAGAUUUUAAUGUUUGUAAAACAAUCUGAAGCUGCUUGAAGUAAAUACUAAGGACUACUUUUGCAUCUGUAUUCUAUUUUUGAAAGUUGGCGAGUAACUUGAAAAUUUCCAUUCGUGUGGGUAAGCUUCAUAAAACAUAGUUGUAUGUGGCAGGUGGCAGAAAAACUGACUUGUUUUGAGCACAGCUUUCCUAGAUUUCCCUCUACUACUAUUUUUUUUCCACUUCCCAAGUUUCAAUUAAUGUUUAAUGUAGUCUUUUCAAAAUAACUUUCAAAGAUCAAUUUCAAAUACUUUUGGAUUAAUAUUAAGUUGGUAGCUAGGGGAAAACCACUUCUAUUUGCAGAUGGUCGGUUUUAUUUAUGGCUCUGGUAGAAAACCUUAUUGCAAGUCUAGAAAAUACAGUGUUAAUGUAGGACUGUAAAGUUAGCUAUACUUAGGGGGCUUUUAUUACCUCAGUGGGACCCACCUAACUUUUCUGUCAGUUUUAGGGAAUGGGUGAAGGGAAGAGUGAGCUAUGUUUUUAUUUUAAAUAUUUUUCCCUAUAUAUUGUUAUUUUUGUAGCUCUUUUUAAAAUAAAUUAUUAUAUGCUGGAGAUUGCAAUUCCACUAUAGUAUCCCACUUGAUUCCAGUGUACAAUAUCAGAUUGUUUGUAUUGAAAAGAAUGUAUUUGAUAAGUAUUUGAUAAGAUAACAGGAAAAGUUAUUUUCAAACAGUGCUGUGGUUGUGUCUAGCAAUUGGAAAUACUUUUUCCUAGAGAAAAUUAAAAUUAUAUCUAUAUGACCUCAUAUGUACAUUUGGAAUAACUGUCUAAUGAUUACCCCAGGGCUGCUAUAACCUUCUCGGAAUAAUUUAAGAAUUGCCUCUUUUUAACUGUUUUAAAGCCUUUUUUCCUUGUCUUUUUUUGGCAGAAAGUAAUUUUCCCUAGCUAUGGAUACAGUAUGCUCAGACUUGCAUAUGUGUUCUGUUUGGGUUUUAAACUGAAAAAAGUGUAUAAAAUGUGUAUAAAGAAAAAUGUAAAUAAAAUAUUUUUAAUCUUUAAACACUCUUGGUGUAAACUUUGUAGUACUGAAAGUGUGGUGGACCUGGAUUACUCUCUACAGGACUUCAGAGUUUACUCUGUUAAGCAACUCUUCAAAAAUGUUGUGUUGCUAUAACUCAUAACAUUGUGUUGAAGUUUUUAUCCCAACAAGAAAAGUUGGAUGUCCUUACACAGCAUCAAGCUCCUUUCUUUAGCUGUACUUCAGAAUCUUCCCGAUUUUAAUUGCUGUAGUGCAUUCAUGUGUCUACUCUGCAUUUCAAGCUUGAAACAGUGUUCAGAGUUGACUUCGUUACAUUUGUAAUUUGGUGUCAAGACACAAAUUUAAAUUUAAAGAGUGAAAACCGCAGCCAGCCGGGAGAAGAGAGUGUUCCCUGCUAUCAAGUACAGGGAAUUGAGGGCUCUGAGACAACGCGCGUUCAUCACGCGCUUGGACCUCAAAAGCGCCAGCAGUCCAAGCCAGACUGCUGAACGUUUCCAGUAACAGGAAGGGGAAACUUAAUUUCAGGAUUAAAAGUGUCAGAUUAGAACAACAUUCAGUACCGUGACUGCUGUCAUCUUCUCUUCCACUAUAUCAAUCUUUCCAUGCUAAAUGUUACUUAAGAGUUGGUUUUGUUCACCUUUUUAAUUUCCCUUCUCAGUGAGCCAGGUUGUGGUUUUGGCAAUACCUUUCUUCCACAAUGCUACACUGGCCGACUUGACUGACUUGUUAGCACCUCUGUAGUUGAUAAGGAAUCUGUGAUAAUGGUUCUGCUGUUUCACUAAGGAGAGUUCUCACAUUUUAACGGGUUCAUAGUUGUUCAUACUAAAUUCUUCACUUUUUUAAAAUAUACAGCCUUAUUUUUUGGCAGUAGUUCAGUCAUCUGUGUUCACUUGUUUGGUGUAAUAUGAAAUUAAUGUUAGUUUGGCAAAGGUUUUUUCCAGUUAAUUCUUUCCAGAUUCUUUGGUAUAAGUUAUCCACCCUUGUUGACUUGGAAUUCUUAAUUUCAACAGAUGUUCCCCCUUUGUUACAGAUUGUGUUUUGGGGUUUUGGUUUUGAGUUUUGGGUGGGUUUUUUGUUGUUUUUUUUUUUCUUUUCUGAUUCCAUCAGCAUCAUAAUACGGAAAAGGAAAACUGUUGCUUUGGGUGUUGCAGGUUUUGUAUUAGUUCUGUACCUUUUGAGUUGUUAACAUAGUCGUGGACAUGGGAUCCCCAUCCAGCCUUUAGCCUAUCCAGCCUUAUGUUUCAGUGUCAUCUUUUAAUCCAAGUGCUGCCUUGUCCAAGGCAACUUUCUUGGCAUGUGCAAAAUUUUCGUUCUUUCAAGGGAGAGGGUAGGGAAUAUGUGUAAAGACAGCUUCAAUUUCUUGUUUUCAUUAACGCUUUCCACUUUUGCAUUCGGUGCUUUAAUUGUGCUGAUAAGUGCUUUAGGUGGUAUUUACAGGUAAAAAUAAGCCUCAUCAUUAUCUCUGUUUAAGUGACCUGUUACUCUUCACUCAUCUAUCCAUCAGAAUGAACACCAGCACUAAGCAUCAUAUGCUGAGCGCCAAGCCUUCUAGGCCGAUGCUAUAUAAUACUUGAGAAACUAAAAAAAUACUCUUUUUGCCACAUAUCUCAAUGUCUGUCAAAUGUGUCUCCUGGUGGUGUCACCCUCGGGAGCAGUUCUCCUGUACCAUGGAUAAAUGUUGCUCAGUAAGGGUGCUGGAAAAAAAACUUGUUUUCUAAUGAGAUAGGUGGCUUUAAUAGUUAACCCCUUUAUUGCACUAUUUAAUUUUAGCAGACAGAUAAGCCUUUGGCCUGAACUGGCAGCCUCCUUUUCCACACCCAUUUUGGUGUGUCCUCAGGCAUGUUCUAAGCAUUGGUUUAUUUGCUUUUUUUUGUCACGUGGCUCAUCUCACAAGUUUGAGUUAUAUCAACCAUAUAAUUAUUUUUCUACGUGAGAAUCUUUCUCUCCUGUGCUGAGUUGUCUGUGUUAUGGGUCUGUUCAUAUGCGUUUCAGUACUACCAAUGAGACUCUCUGACUUUACCAUCCCUUCUUUGUCAAAAGAAUUGCAUAAUGCUAACUGAAAACAAGUAUUUCUCCGAUGUUUAACUGCCAUAGUCUUGGGAGAAAUUCCAAGGUGGUCAGUUUACCUUCCCAGACUGCCCAAGUCAUGCAAAGUGCACGAGACUGUGCUUGUGGUGGUGAUGCUGGUGUCAAUGCAAGGUGUAGCCAAAGUGCUUUCCCCUACGUUGGUGUAGUGAUGGCCUUCAUUUUCACUCCUGGAAAGUGAGAAACUGCUCUGCUGUUGCCUUGCGCCUCUCGGAAAACCCUCAUGUCUAAUUUAUUCCCAGGAAGGAGUCCUAGUCACUUGGGUGUCCUUGGUCAGCUGAGGAUGUUCCAUGGGAUUUGCCUGGUGUCACACGUGCUCUCACUUCUAACUCUGGCUCUUUACAGGUAGUUCUCCAAGGAUUUUCUUUAUCUAACGCAGGUGUCAACUCAAUACCAAGAACUUAUUUUAACUUAUUAUAAUGAAACCCAGAACAUCAAAAAUCAAAAUUUCAGAGUAUAAAACCUUAUAUAUAUACACACAUAUAUAUAAAUAAUUUCUCCUCCUCCUGGUUCUCGGUUCAUUUAUUGCAAACAGAAGAGUCACUGUGAAGUAAUAGUUUUUCCUGCACUGUUUCUCCUGACAGAUUAUCCAAAACACUGAAAAGAAUUAUGUAGUCAGGAAAAAAAUAGGUGAUGAUAAUUAACUGAACUAUAGCUUUUAAUUUAAUCACUUUUCAUGGUCUUAAAGUUGGGAGCUGAUCCAAUUAACAACCUUAUUGGAAGUGUUUUAGCUGAUUUCUGAAAGAGCUGGAUUUUUGGCUCAGUACGGUUCUCUGAAAACAAGGGGAGUGAGGCUGACCUCUAUAUGAGUAAAAUAAAUACCCCAGCCAAAGAAAUCUCAGUACAAAAUUGUUAACACCCAAAUAAUCAACCAGCUGUACUUUGCAGGAGUUAUGAACUUACAAAAUGAUCACAGUUGCUCAGUUUUAGUUUUGUCCUAGCUUUGCGGUUCGGAGAUUUUUAUUUUUCCCAUGGUAAAAAUUAAUUACAAGAAUGUAUGUUUUGCUAAACUUGUUAAACCGGUGUAGGAAGCCAUGCUUUCAGAUUUGCAGCCUUAUUCAAAGCAGAGCAGAACGCAUUAAAGUGACUAGAAGGGCUAGCAAUUUUCUAGCGCCUUAACUUCUGAAGAUUUAUGCAUCUGCUGUGGAUGGAAAUCGUCCAGUAUCCUCCAGAGAGAAUGCCUGGGACCUGGCAUACAAUUUACGUGCUUCAUAUUCCCAUUCUUCUGUAGCAACAGAUUGAUCCCUCAGGCUUUUCAACCCGUGAAAUUGCCAUCCCUUGAUGUUCAGCAAAGUUGCUCCUGUUUGUAACAGCCAGUUUCUCUACCUGUAUAACACCAGGCAUUGCUACACACGUACCAGAGUAAGAACCUAUUCAAUCACACUUGAGAAAUGUGAUGUUUUUUCUCAUCUAUAAAACCGCCAAAGCAAGCUAGAGCAUUGUGUUUUACCAGUGCCAGUGCCCUACUGUAGUGAUUUACGAGACCGAAGAGGAAGUUUCAAAUGCUGUGCUAGAGAGAAACAACAGUACAGGCAAUGUCACUCUGCACGCCACUACCCCGCACCCCUCUAGUUCCUACACCAUAAGCUGCAACUAUGCCAGCUGUAGCCCUCCUCCAUAAGGCGUGGGGGCAAAAACAUCAAUGGCUUCAGGUUAUGAGAAGUAGCAGGUGGUAACACUUGUUAAACAUAUAAGGCAUCACUGGGGGAAACGAUCUAAAUGGCAGUUUUCAUUAGUGAUUGUGAAAGACCCCUGCAACAUGUCCUAGAAUUCCCUAAAGGCACUUAAGCAUGCAUAAAGUUGGGUGUUACUCCUUUGUGGAAAAUGCUCCUGGAAUUGGAGCGGUAGUUGAAGGUAUCAGAGGCGAUUGGGUUUUGAUGAAUGUGAGGCAAAGGAAUGGAAAGGUGCAAAACCAGCCUGAGCCAUGCCAUGGUACCAAAGAGCGAGGAACUGUCGUAGGACUUCCUGGCUGAUGAGUACUCUCCACAGAAACAGGGGUUUAUGUCCUGAAAAGGGCACCUUGCUUCCAGUUUUGCCUCAUAUCUCUCCUUCUCUCUGUCAAAUACGGCCUCUUCAUUUUUGCUAGCUUCUGGUAGAGCUUGAGAAGAGCAACGUGUUGGCUGCGUGGCCACUGUAGUGGGCUGGUAAGAGUAAAAUGAUGAGGUGACUGAUGAAUUGUAUGGAAUGACGAUCUAGAAAAGAAAAAUAUUUUAAAGCCAAAUGUAGGCUUUUCCUCUCAAAAAGGGUGUUACUCUAGACUGAACAGAUAAAGCCGUGAAACCAAAUUCUGCCUUCUGGAAAUAGAAUAAUAAAGGUUUUCUCUUACACUCUUCUGUUACAUCAAAUGAUGGUGGCAGCAUCAGUGAAGAAGAAAUCUGGAGGAUUCCUCGUGUGCUGCUCAGCUCGCUCUCCCUUCUUGUUCCAGCUGCCUGACAAAGCCCCCGCAGAAUGGUCUGCUGCUCUUCUGGGCCCUGGGAUCUUGCACUGCUUCAAGCCCCAGCCUAGGGGGCUUGAUGGGGAAGCAAGUCAGAGCUUAAGCCAAGAGUUGACUAACAUAAGUAUAGGCUUCACUACUCAAGUAGACAAAUCUUUGCCCGUUUCUGAAGAACUUGUACCAUGCAAAAUAUCAUGCAGCAGGUAGCGGUAUGUGCUGCGUUCUCCAGCUGGUCUCUGCGUGUGUGAGCGCGUCAACAGCUUGUUAACAGAAGAAUUACUCGUCGGAGCUGGGAGGCAUUGAAAAACAUGGAACUACGGCUACUGAUGCCUGCAGUGAGAAGUCACGGAUUUGAAUUAGGGAAGGAAUGUUUGGGUGUUUAACCACGGUGAUAUCAAAAGUGAAACUAUAUGCAGUGUGAGUACACUGGGGUUUUUUGCAUGAUUUGUUUCUCUCUUCUACCUGUCCCCUGUUUUAGAAUAUAGGAUCUUUAUUUGGAAAGCACUGAGUGUAUUUUGGAUGCUGUCAGAUUGUGGCAAAGCUGAUGAGACAGCAUGCGCUGAAAUUCAAGUACUGGUUUACCCCAGAUGUGAAUGCAGUAACGCCUUUGCUGCAAUUAAAGGUAGGUCAUCAGGAAAGCACAAAGAGCUCUGCAGUGGCAUCUGUCCUUAACAUUCAAUUUACUUUCUGAAAGUAUGACUUCAGACCUCAUAGCUGCCAAAAUAGCACCUCUGACAAACGUUGAAAACGGACCCACCUGAAGUACAAAAAGCAAAAGGUAAGUUUUACUCCAAAUAAAACAGUAUUGUUAAAUAUAAAAAUCUGUUCAACACCCCCCCCCCUUUUUUUUUUUCAAGUUAGGAAGUGAAUAAAGUAGAAAGAAUGAAAGAGUAUUCUUAUGAAUAGGCGAAGCACACUCCCUUCAUAAAGGCACCGGGAAAGGUCCAUCAUCGCGCACCCCUAUAAAAGCCAGUUCAAUUAGAUGUUUAACAAAUACGUGCUAGAAGUGACAGGAACGUGAGAAAUGGAUCGUGUGCUUUGGAGACCGACCAGGAAAAGCUGUGUACCCGACACGUCACCUCCAACUGUGCUUUCUGCGGUGCAUUUAGAAAGCCAGGCUCGCAGCGUUAGGUGAAGCUGCUUAACAACUGAAAGUUGAGCUUAUUGGAGCCCUUGUGGUUGUGUAUUUUCUAUUGGCCAUGUAUUUUCAAAAGAACUUGAAGAGAGAUCUGCCGAACAGCAUUCUUCUAACUUACAACACAAAAGAGCUGUAAGAGUCACAAAAGCAGUUUAUUUUAUAAAGACCGUAAAAAUAAAUUCUAAACAGGCUGGCAAAACUGUAGUGGCAAGACAAGGUAUGAAAAAAUUCAUUCAUUUUAGUGAAUAAAAGGUGCAUGGAAAAAUGUGGGUUUGUUUUUUAAAAUACACAAGAUUUAUUGUGAAGGAGAACACCAAAAUAAGCCAGCCUUUCAGAAUUGCACUUUUCUAAUAAACAGUGUGAGUAGGCAACUGCAGAGAUGUUACAAACUCACAUUUUAACAGGAAUGUGCAAGGAAUCAAUUUUUUUUCUACUGUACCUAUAAAUGUGGGGCAAAUAAGUGUCAUUGUACUGCUAGUAAAGGACUGUUCUUAUUUUCCUGACAAAAAGAUUAAAUAAGCAAUCUAAUACAACGUUAUGAAAGCUCAGACUGUAAUGGCUAAGGCAAAGGACCGGAGAUCAAGUUUCUUAAAUUGUAUUUUUGCCUGGGCUGACAUAGUUUAUGAACUGUGGCAACAUUUUCAAGCUUCUCUGAGCUGCAGCUUUCUAAAGGAAAUAUUUCUUUGUCGAGUAUUUAGAAAAGCCAGUUAGCAAGAAAAGGGAAAAAUACUGGCAUGCACAAUAAAACUGAAACUUGGUAUAGGUUCUUAAAUGAGGAACAGCCAGGAGUUGAUCGUGGCAAAGCUCUUUAUUCUGCAGCCCCAGCAGCAGAAACUUCAGCUCCUUUCUAAGCCUGUCCGAUGAUGUUUUGGACUGUGUGUAAUCCAUUAUGGCAUAUAUUGUCACCGUCCCAGGGAAAUUUUGCAGAGACAAUCUUCUCCAGCAGUUAUUCCUGCCACCAAAGUACGCAGGGCUUUCGUCCAGAUUACUAUUGGUAUUGUUCCCUAUAAAGGUUUUUCCCGUUCCUUUUAAUCAGUCGCAUCAGUCACUUUAAAGAUGAACUUACACAUGAAAGAAAAAAAUGCACUGAAAGUGCUGGAGCUCAUAAAAUUGUUUGGUUUAAAAAAAUUUAUAAAACAACGGUUUGUUCUUUGGAUAUUUGUAUCUGUUACAUAACUGUAUCAAUUGCUGUGUAGUCACUGAAUAUAAAUUGUUCACAAAAAUAUGUAUUUGUAACAUAUAUACCAUUGUAUGUCCAGAAACAAUGGGAGUUUUCUUCACUGCUAAUGUACCAAACUUAAAAAGAGAAUGCACUUGAAAUAUGCUUAUGUCUGUCCUCCGUAAAACUGGGGAACAGCCGGUCCCACCCACAGCCCCAGACUUGGCUUUGGCUGCGCACUUACCAGAGCAGGCGCCGUUAUUCACCUCAGCGCCAUCAUUCCUCUGGUGGGCCCGCCUGCCGUUCUGAGCUUUGAAGGUUUUCUUUCUCUAACUCCUUGAGGAUGAAUAAAAUACAUCAAGAAACGCGACCACUUUGCAAACUGUCUGGUCUCUCCCCGCGCUCUCACAAAAGCGCCAUAAAAUACCGCAAAAUUGCUUUUCCACAAACAUUUGCUGCACCCCAGCUGCU